Non-coding RNA from Penaeus vannamei (Pacific white shrimp), 133 nucleotides. NCBI's taxonomy places the organism in Eukaryota, Metazoa, Arthropoda, Malacostraca, Decapoda, Penaeidae. The record is from RefSeq and is a predicted model, not a curated record.
GUAGAUAAGCAGCAAGUGAAUUUAAGUGUUGUAUCAAAGGAGAAGGGUGAGGAUGGCUCGGAAAAGCUUGUAUCAUCCAACAUUAUUGUGAAUCUCGAUGCUGAAGAUGAGGAUAUGCCAACUGAAACUGUCC